CCUACGGGUUGCAGCAGUGGGGAAUCUUAGACAAUGGGGGAAACCCUGAUCUAGCCAUGCCGCGUGAGUGAAGAAGGCCCUAGGGUCGUAAAGCUCUUUCGCCAGGGAUGAUAAUGACAGUACCUGGUAAAGAAACCCCGGCUAACUCCGUGCCAGCAGCCGCGGUAAUACGGAGGGGGUUAGCGUUGUUCGGAAUUACUGGGCGUAAAGCGCGCGUAGGCGGACAAUUAAGUCAGGGGUGAAAUCCCGGGGCUCAACCCCGGAACUGCCUUUGAUACUGGUUGUCUUGAGUUCGAGAGAGGUGAGUGGAAUUCCGAGUGUAGAGGUGAAAUUCGUAGAUAUUCGGAGGAACACCAGUGGCGAAGGCGGCUCACUGGCUCGAUACUGACGCUGAGGUGCGAAAGCGUGGGGAGCAAACAGGAUUAGAUACCCGAGUAGUC
Molecule: ribosomal RNA, 440 nt
Filed under: uncultured bacterium
Lineage: Bacteria
Description: bacterial SSU rRNA
Rfam family: Bacterial small subunit ribosomal RNA
Source: RNAcentral